CGAAAGCCUGACGGAGCAAGACCGCGUGGGGGAAGAAGGCUCUUGGGUUGUAAACCCCUUUUCUCUGGGAAGAAAGUUGUGAAAGCAACCUGACGGUACCAGAGGAAUCAGCAUCGGCUAACUCCGUGCCAGCAGCCGCGGUAAGACGGAGGAUGCAAGCGUUAUCCGGAGUGAUUGGGCGUAAAGCGUCCGCAGGUGGCAGUUCAAGUCUGCUGUCAAAGACCGGGGCUUAACCUCGGAAAGGCAGUGGAAACUGAACAGCUAGAGUAUGGUAGGGGCAGAGGGAAUUCCUGGGGUAGCGGUGAAAUGCGUAGAGAUCAGGAAGAACAUCGGUGGCGAAGGCGCUCUGCUGGACCAUAACUGACACUCAGGGACGAAAGCUAGGGGAGCG
RNAcentral lists this ribosomal RNA (391 nucleotides) under uncultured Oscillatoria sp. RNAcentral's name for it is "bacterial SSU rRNA". It matches the Rfam family "Bacterial small subunit ribosomal RNA", at positions 376 to 770 of the family's 1533-position model. The record is from RNAcentral. Lineage: Bacteria; Bacillati; Cyanobacteriota; Cyanophyceae; Oscillatoriales; Oscillatoriaceae.